Alnus glutinosa is the source of this 1150-nucleotide long non-coding RNA. RefSeq lists it as uncharacterized. Lineage: Eukaryota; Viridiplantae; Streptophyta; Magnoliopsida; Fagales; Betulaceae. The record is from RefSeq and is a predicted model, not a curated record. The transcript is spliced from 4 exons.
CAGAAGAUGGAUGGCGUGUCAUGUUUCAUCUUUCCCAUUUCCUGCAGAAGAUAAAUGAAUGAGCUAUAAGAAGCAGAUAGGGAUGCUCUAAUUCAAGCGCUCCAUCAUGCCUUUCUUCUUUUGUACUAUAAUCCUAUCUGGGCUGGGCUGGGCGAGGCCUUACCCGAUUUCAUUUUAUUCUAGCAUAGUCAAUUUACGUUUGGGUUUAAAACAGAUUUAUGUGGCACGUGUCAGCCAACUCAAUCAUUCGGUUGAGGCUCGUCUCGUUUCUUGGCGGGCAAGGAAGGAUAAACGCCGCUGCUGGCACAAAUUUAUGGGAUAUAAAAAAUAGCAAAUAAAAGAAAGGAAAACUUGGCCAAGAAGGCACCAAACAACUUAGGACGCUCGACACUUUCUUACCGACGUCUGAGAGAUUCCGGCUCUGGGAGACCCUUAUUUGAAGUUCCAUGGCCAAACUCCUAAACAUUAACACCAAGGUUGAAAAUGUGUCUGAUAGUGCGAUGGUAAUGCAAGUGAUACAGAAUCCUGGCCAAUUCGAAGCGAGAAAAGCUGAAAUUCUACCUGGUAAGCAUAUAUAUAUCUGCUAUGAUGAGGAGCUUAACAAUGAAUAUAAUCCAGAUCGUCCGGUAUGUGUAUAUGUUUACCUUGACGGUCCCAUGAAAAUGGGUAAAAGAAAAAUAAAGCUGGCUGAUAUAAGGGUAAAUGAAAAACUCGAGUUGAACUACUUGAAUGGUGCUAUCUCCAUCACCCCUACUAAGGGACAUUUCAUCCAGAGGCUCGGGUUAAUUAUCAAAUUCAAACGCUUAAUUAACCGAACAGAUCAAGUCGUUGGGGGAAAUAGUCGAUCCCAACAGAUCGAUUGGAAAGUUUCGGAGGGAAUACAAGAAGGUCUAUGAAAAAUGAUGUCACCUUGUUUGCUCCCUUUUCCAUAGGCAUAUAUAUGAACUAUAUAUAGAUUUUGGUUUGGCUUGUGUUAAUUAAUGUUAGGGAAGGAUGUGAUUUGUAAGCAGUUGGAGGGAAUUGAAUACAUUUUAAAGUUUGGAAGUUCAAGUACGUGAGGCCGGGGUUGUAUAUAGUUUGGGAGUGAAGUGAAGUGGAGUUGAUGGAUGAGGACACUAAAGCUAUAUAUCCAUAGUUUUUUUGUCUUUUC